RNAcentral lists this ribosomal RNA (429 nucleotides) under Chloroflexota bacterium. Its description in RNAcentral is "Chloroflexi bacterium partial 16S ribosomal RNA". It matches the Rfam family "Bacterial small subunit ribosomal RNA", at positions 355 to 776 of the family's 1533-position model. Lineage: Bacteria; Bacillati; Chloroflexota. The record is from RNAcentral.
UGGGGAAUAUUGCACAAUGGGCGCAAGCCUGAUGCAGCCAUGCCGCGUGUAUGAAGAAGGCCUUCGGGUUGUAAAGUACUUUCAGUCGGGAGGAAGGUGGUAAGGUUAAUAACCUUAUCAAUUGACGUUACCGACAGAAGAAGCACCGGCUAACUCCGUGCCAGCAGCCGCGGUAAUACGGAGGGUGCAAGCGUUAAUCGGAAUUACUGGGCGUAAAGCGCACGCAGGCGGUUGAUUGAGUCAGAUGUGAAAUCCCCGGGCUUAACCCGGGAAUUGCAUCUGAUACUGGUCAGCUAGAGUCUCGUAGAGGGGGGUAGAAUUCCAGGUGUAGCGAUGAAAUGCGUAGAGAUCUGGAGGAAUACCGGUGGCGAAGGCGGCCCCCUGGACGAAGACUGACGCUCAGGUGCGAAAGCGUGGGGAGCAAACAGG